UACGUAGGGGGCUAGCGUUGUCCGGAAUCAUUGGGCGUAAAGCGCGCGUAGGCGGCCCGGUAAGUCCGCUGUGAAAGUCAAAGGCUCAACCUUUGAAUGUCAGCGGAUACUGCCGGGCUAGAGUCCGGAAGAGGCGAGUGGAAUUCCUGGUGUAGCGGUGAAAUGCGCAGAUAUCGGGAGGAACACCAAUGGCGAAGGCAGCUCGCUGGGACGGUACUGACGCUGAGACGCGAAAGCGUGGGGAGCAAACAGG
This 253-nucleotide ribosomal RNA is filed under the name uncultured bacterium. RNAcentral describes it as "partial 16S ribosomal RNA". It matches the Rfam family "Bacterial small subunit ribosomal RNA", at positions 524 to 776 of the family's 1533-position model. The record is from RNAcentral.